AAGAAGUGCUAGCUUAAGUUGAAAGUGCGUAGUCCAUCCAACGAUGCUUAUUGAUCUUCAAUUACCACGACGUGUACGAAACAUACACGUCAAGAAAAUGGCACCAGCUUCUGCUUUGUUGGUGAAUCUUCUCUUCCUUUUCUAUGGCCUAGGCAUUUUGAUGACAGUGGUGGAGGCCGCCAGCAAUGUUCAUAUCGUUUAUCUUGGAGAGAAGCAACAUGAUGAUCCCAAGCUGAUUACAAAUUCACACCAUGAUAUGCUUGCCGAUGUUGUGGGGAGCAAGGAAUUGGCUUCACAAUUGAUAGUGUACAGCUACAAACAUGGGUUCUCUGGGUUUGCAGCCAAGCUGACAGAGUCUCAGGCUCAAAAGCUUGCUGAAUUGCCUGGCGUUGUUCGAGUUAUACCAAAUAGCCUUCACAAGCUUCAAACAACUAGGAGUUGGGAUUUUUUAGGCCUCUCUUCUUAUUCUCCUGUCAAUGCUCUUCAAAGGAGCAACAUGGGUGAUGGAGUUAUAAUAGGUGUUUUUGACACAGGAAUAUGGCCCGAGUCUAAAGCUUUCAGCGAUGAAGGACUUGGACCGAUUCCCUUCCGCUGGAAAGGUGUUUGUAAAUCUGGGAAGCAGUUUAAUGCUACCCUUAACUGUAACAAGAAAAUAAUUGGAGCCCGUUGGUAUAUUGAUGGAUUUCUUGCUGAGUAUGGAAAGCCAUUAAACACAUCAGAAGACCUCGAGUUUUUAUCGCCCAGAGACGCAAAUGGACAUGGGACACACACAGCUAGCACUGCCGCUGGAGCUUUUAUUCGCAAUGUUAGCUACAAAGGACUUGGUCCUGGGACAAUAAGAGGUGGAGCGCCACGUGCUCGGUUGGCAAUAUACAAGGUCUGUUGGAAUGUUUUUGGAGGACAAUGUUCAUCUGCUGACAUGUUGAAGGCUUUUGAUGAAGCCAUAUAUGAUGGGGUUGACGUAUUGUCCCUCUCAAUCGGAUCUUCAAUUCCUCUGUUUUCAGAUAUUGAUGAACGCGAUGGCAUAGCUACUGGUUCCUUUCAUGCUGUUGCCAGGGGCAUUACUGUCGUUUGUGGAGCUGCUAAUGAUGGGCCUUCAGCUCAGACUGUGCAGAACACUGCACCUUGGAUCUUGACUGUUGCCGCGAGCACCAUGGAUCGAGCGUUUCCAACACCCAUCACGCUUGGGAACAAUAAAACCUUCCUGGGUCAGGCCAUGUUUACAGGAAAGGAGAUUGGUUUUAGAGGCUUGGUUUACCCAGAGGCCUCAGGGCUGGACCCCAAUGCUGCUGGCGUCUGUCAAUCCCUAUCACUUAAUGCUACAUUAGUAGCUGGAAAGGUGGUUCUCUGCUUCACCUCAAUGGCUCGUAGAGCUGCAGUAACAAGUGCAGCAGAAGUUGUCAAGGCGGCAGGUGGAGUUGGGUUAAUUGUUGCCAAGAAUCCAAGUGAUGCAUUGUACCCCUGCAGUGGUGACUUCCCAUGCGUUGAAGUGGACUAUGAGAUUGGGACCCGGAUACUCUUUUACAUUCGUUCUAACAGAUCCCCUGCAGUAAAAUUGAGCCAUUCUAAAACUAUUGUGGGUAAUCCUUUGUUGCCAAAGGUGGCAUAUUUCUCAUCUAGGGGGCCUAACUCAAUUGCUCCAGCAAUUCUUAAGCCUGAUAUAACUGCACCUGGGGUGAACAUAUUAGCUGCUACGUCACCUCUGGAUAGAUUCGAGGACAAUGGAUAUGCCAUGCAUUCAGGAACAUCAAUGGCAACUCCUCAUGUCUCGGGUAUAGUGGCUCUUCUUAAAGCAUUGCAUCCGGAUUGGUCCCCAGCAGCCAUUAAGUCUGCACUUGUCACAACAGGUCUCUUUUGUUGCCUUUACUUUGUAUAACAGACCAUACAAAAGCACGAAACAUUAUAUGGUAAAAUCGGUAUACAUGUAAUGGUUUUAUUAUAACCAUUGAUUAUGGUAAAUUUCAUGUGGAUCUUACCAUAAUCAUCAGUUAUAGUGAACCGUUGUGCAUCAGUUUGACAAUUGACCCAGCAUUCAAUUUCCUUGAUCCUCGAUGCAGCGUGGAGAAAUCAUCCUUCUGGCUAUCCAAUAUUUGCAGAGGGAUCUCCUCAAAAGUUGGCUAACCCAUUCGACUUUGGAGGAGGCAUUGCGAACCCAAAUGGAGCAGCAGACCCUGGUCUUCUAUAUGAUAUGGAUACAGCUGACUACAUACAUUACCUCUGUGUGAUGGGUUACAACAACGCUGCAAUCUCUAGACUCACAGGACAACCUACAGAAUGCCCCAGCAAAGAACCAUCCAUUUUGGACGUUAACCUACCUUCCCUAACCAUACCAAAUCUUAGAAAAUCCAUCACGCUCACCAGAACAGUCACAAAUGCUGGAGCCCCGAACUCCAUUUACAGAGCAGUGAUUGAACCUCCAUUCGGCAUUAUUGUAUCAGUAAAACCUGAUGUGUUACUCUUCAGUAAUCAAACUAAGAAAAUAAACUUUACUGUGACAAUUAAUGCUACCCACCAGGUGAACACUGGGUACUAUUUUGGGAGCCUAUCAUGGACCGAUGGGAUACACAUGGUGAAAAGUCCAUUGUCAGUGAGAACAGAGAUGUUACAACCUUAUGCUAGUGACAACUAAGAAUUGAAAAUCAGAUGUCCAUUCGUUUCAUAUAUAUUUAUGUAUACCAAUGCAAUUUCAUGUAUAAAUUGAUUCAAUGUUUUCAUAUUCUUACAUGGUCUCGACCAUAAACCAUAAUGCAUACAGUGUAGGAGUCUGUUCUGGCAAAAGUGUUAUACCACUGCUGGAUCAUAGUAAAAUACAUAUUUUGGUGUUGA
This 2826-nucleotide unclassified non-coding RNA is filed under the name Hevea brasiliensis (rubber tree). Lineage: Eukaryota; Viridiplantae; Streptophyta; Magnoliopsida; Malpighiales; Euphorbiaceae. The record is from RNAcentral.